CAGACUGGAUACAUUACAUCAUAGUGGAGGCCUACAGACUGGAGACAUUACAUAAUAGUGGAGGCCUACAGACUGGAGACAUUACAACAUAGUGGAGACCUACAGACUGGAGUCAUGACAACAUAGUGGAGGCCUGCAGACUGGGGAUAUGACAACAUAGUGGAGGCCUGCAGACUGGAGACAUUAUUACAUAGUGGAGGCCUGAAGACUGGGGAUAUGACAACAUAUUGUAGGCCUACAGACUGGAGACAUUACAUCAUAGUGGAGGACUACGGACUGGGGACAUGACAUUAUAGUGGAGGACUACGGACUGGGGACAUGACAUUAUUGUGGAAAACUACAGACAUAGCAACAUAGUUGAGGCCUACAGACUGGAGACAUUACAUCAUAGUGGAGGCCUACAGACUGGAGACAUUACAUCAUAGUGGAGGCCUACAGACUGGAGACAUUACAUCAUAGUGGAGGCCUACAGACUGGAGACAUUAUAUCAUAGUGGAGGCCUACAGACUGGAGACAUUACAUCAUAGUGGAGGCCUACAGACUGGGGACAUGACAUUAUAGUAGAAGACUACAGACAUGGCAACAUAGUGGAGGCCUACAGACUGGAGACAUUACAAAAUAGUGAAGACUAACAGACUGGAGACAGGACAACAUAGUGAAGGCCUACAGACUGGAGACAUGACAACAUAGUGGAGGCCUACAGACUGGAGACAUGACAUCAUAGCGGAGGCCUACAGACUGGAGACAUGACAUCAUAGUGGAGGACUACAGACUGGAGACAUGACAACAUAGUGGAGGCCUACAGACUGGAGACAUGACAACAUAGUGGAGGCCUACAGACUGGAGACAUGACAACAUAGUGGAGGCCUACAGACUGGAGUCAUGACAACAUAGGGGGGGCCUACAGACUGGAGACAUGACAACAUAGUGGAAGCUAACAG
RNAcentral lists this long non-coding RNA (941 nucleotides) under Salmo salar (Atlantic salmon). RNAcentral's name for it is "lncRNA (ENSSSAG00000107753.1)". Lineage: Eukaryota; Metazoa; Chordata; Actinopteri; Salmoniformes; Salmonidae. The record is from RNAcentral.